Molecule: transfer RNA, 85 nt
Filed under: Felis catus (domestic cat)
Lineage: Eukaryota; Metazoa; Chordata; Mammalia; Carnivora; Felidae
Also listed under: 5 other names
Rfam family: tRNA
About the family: Transfer RNA (tRNA) molecules are approximately 80 nucleotides in length. Their secondary structure includes four short double-helical elements and three loops (D, anti-codon, and T loops).
Source: Rfam by way of RNAcentral
GCCUGGGUGGCUCAGUCUGUUAAGCAUCUGAUUUUGGCUCAGGUCAUGAUCUCAUGGUUCGUGAGUUCGAGUCUCACAUUGGGUG